Molecule: unclassified non-coding RNA, 378 nt
Filed under: plant metagenome
Description: partial contains 5.8S ribosomal RNA, internal transcribed spacer 2, and large subunit ribosomal RNA
Rfam family: 5.8S ribosomal RNA (bases 1-105)
Source: RNAcentral
GAAAUGCGAUAAGUAAUGUGAAUUGCAGAAUUCAGUGAAUCAUCGAAGCUUUGAACGCACCUUGCGCUCCUUGGUAUUCCUUGGAGCAUGCUUGUUUGAGUAUCAUGAAAUCUUCAAAGUAAAUCUUUUGUUAACUCAAUUGGUUUCUACUUUGGUAUUGGAGGUCUUUGCAGCUUCACACCUGCUCCUCUUUGUUCAUUAGCUGGAUCUCAGUGUUAUGCUUGGUUCCACUCGGCGUGAUAAGUUAUCUAUCGCUGAGGACACUGUAAAAGGUGGCCAAGGUAAAUGCAGAUGAACCGCUUCUAAUAGUCCAUUGACUUGGACAAUACUUUUAUGAUCUGAUCUCAAAUCAGGUAGGACUACCCGCUGAACUUAAGC